This 1359-nucleotide long non-coding RNA is filed under the name Corvus moneduloides (New Caledonian crow). RNAcentral's name for it is "lncRNA (ENSCMUG00000017118.1)". Lineage: Eukaryota; Metazoa; Chordata; Aves; Passeriformes; Corvidae. The record is from RNAcentral.
AUGGGGAAAGGGAAGGGGCUGGCUGGCCCAUCCUGCCCUUUUCCUGCCUUUUCCCUGCUUUCCUCCUGCCCAGAUUCCAACAGGAGCAGGUGGUUUCCAUGGUUUCCCACCAUUUGCUCGGGAAGAUCCUUAGGAACAAGAGCCGGAGGAGGGAAAACAAAAGGGAGACGCUGGAGCUGGAGGCGAGCGGGGGCCACCCCAGGAUCCUCCCACGCCGUAUCCCUGGAGACGGAAAAGGACGGAAAAGCAGCGGGAGCAUCCCAACUCUCUCCCACCAUCCCAUCUCCAUCCUCACUCCCUCCAUCCCUUUUCCGUCCUUCCUCCUUCCAUCCCAUCUCCAUCCUCUUUCUCUCCAUCCCAUCUCCAUCCAUCCUCAUCUUUCUUCCAUCCCAUCUCUCUCCCUCCUUCCUCCCUCAAUCCAUUCAUCCCCUCCACCUCCAUCCUCCCUCCCUAAAUCCCAUCUCCAACCAUUCCUCCUCCCUCCCAUCUCCAUCCUCUCCCUCCUUCCAUCCCACCUCCAUUCCCUCCUUCCAUCCCACCUCCAUUCCCUCCUUCCAUCCCACCUCCAUUCAAUCCAUCCCACCUCCAUUCCCUCCCCCAUCCCACCUCCAUUCCCUCCUUCCAUCCCACCUCCAUUCCCUCCCCCAUCCCACCUCCAUUCCCUCCCUCCAUCCCAUCUCCAACCAUUCCUCCUCACUCCCAUCUCCAUCCUCUCCCUCCCUCUAUCCCAUGUCCCUGUUCCAUCCAUCCCAUAUCCGUUCUCCCUUCAUCCCAUCUCCAUCAAUCCCUCUCUGCCUCCACCUCCAUCAUCCCUCUCUCCCUCCCUCCAUCCCAUCUCCAGUCCCUCCCUCCCUCCAUCCCAUCUCCAGUCCCUCCCUCCAUCCCAUCUCCAGUCCCUCCUUCCAUUCCCUCCAUCCCACCUCCAUUCCCUCCCUCCAUCCCACCUCCAUUCCCUCCCUCCAUCCCAUCCUCAUCCUCACUCCCUCCAUCCCAUUUCCAUCUUCCCUCUAUCUCAUCUCUGUCCUCCUUCCCUCCAUCCCAACCAUCUCCAUUCCAUCUCCCACCAUCCCAUCCAUUUCCAUUCUUUCCCUCCCACCAUCCCAUCCCAUCCCAUCCCAUCCCAUCCCAUCCCAUUUAUCCCAUUUAUCCCAUCCCCUUCCAUCCCAUCCCAUCCCAUUUCUCCCAAUCCCAUCCCAUUUCUCCCAUCCCAUCCCAUUUCUCCCAUCCCAUUCCAUUUCUCCCAUCCCAUUGAUCCCAUUGAUCCCAUUGAUCCCAUUGAUCCCAUUGAUCCCAUUUAUCCCAUUUAUCCCAUUUAUCCCACCCCAUCCCAUCCCAUCCCAUCCCAUCCCAUCCCAUUGA